UCCUACGGGAGGCAGCAGUAGGGAAUYUUCGGCAAUGGACGAAAGUCUGACCGAGCAACGCCGCGUGAGUGAAGAAGGUUUUCGGAUCGUAAAACUCUGUUGUUAGAGAAGAACAAGGACGUUAGUAACUGAACGUCCCCUGACGGUAUCUAACCAGAAAGCCACGGCUAACUACGUGCCAGCAGCCGCGGUAAUACGUAGGUGGCAAGCGUUGUCCGGAUUUAUUGGGCGUAAAGCGAGCGCAGGCGGUUUCUUAAGUCUGAUGUGAAAGCCCCCGGCUCAACCGGGGAGGGUCAUUGGAAACUGGGAGACUUGAGUGCAGAAGAGGAGAGUGGAAUUCCAUGUGUAGCGGUGAAAUGCGUAGAKAUAUGGA
Molecule: ribosomal RNA, 373 nt
Filed under: Enterococcus faecalis
Lineage: Bacteria; Bacillati; Bacillota; Bacilli; Lactobacillales; Enterococcaceae
Description: bacterial SSU rRNA
Rfam family: Bacterial small subunit ribosomal RNA
Source: RNAcentral